This 1026-nucleotide ribosomal RNA is filed under the name Triticum aestivum (bread wheat). RNAcentral describes it as "partial small subunit ribosomal RNA". Lineage: Eukaryota; Viridiplantae; Streptophyta; Magnoliopsida; Poales; Poaceae. The record is from RNAcentral.
AUGCUUAGAAGAAUGUACCAAGGUGGUUCCUCGGCAAAGAAAGGGCCAAGGAUUGCUAUACGUGAGCAAGAUGUUGAAUUGCCGAGGGACGUGGAUGUACGAGCUUGUGAGUGGCCAUCCGAUGAUUUUAUGGUCGAAGCAAGCUUCAAGGAAGAAUUUGAUGCGUAUGUGCGUAAUGCCGAGCUGGAGGACUUCUUACAAGAUAAGUGUCUGCAAUACUAUCAAUUGACUGAUUCCUUUGUGCGGAGGUUCCAAUAUAACUGUACGCGUAAUUCUCCUAGUGUCAUGUUUGAUAUUUAUGAUACAUCUUAUACCAUGGAUUUAGAGGAUUUCACAACUGCUUGCAAACUCCCGCAGUGGGGUAAUAUUAAUGAUCCUCACAAAUCUGAAUUUAGAGAUUUUCUUGCUAGUAUUACUGUGGGAGAAUCUAGGGACAUAGCACAAGCUACCAUAGGGAGCAUUCAUUUUCCUGCUAUACAUUAUUUUGCUCUCUUUAUUGGUAGAUGCAUUAACGGUAAGGACGAAGCAUGUCACAUGUGUGUCCCUGAUCUUUGUGUCCUCAAGAGUGUUGUGUCAGGUUAUAAAGGUUAUAACUUGGGGGCAAUAGUUGCACAUAGGUUGCAGAAUAAUAGUAGAAAGGGGGAUUUAUUUGGAGGGAUUUAUGCAACCCAUGUGGCUAAUUAUCUUAAUAUAGCCCCACGAGAGGGGGAUAUGAUUUUACCUCCUAUUUAUUUGGAUAAAGAAGCUAUGUUCAAUCAUCAUUUUCUUGAGAGGAAUGAACAAUUCCUCCAUUAUCGACUAAUCUAUGACAGACGCAACGUCAUCCCUGUUACUCUUCCUGCUCCCUACCUUUUUGAUUAUCAGGCAAAAGGAAGAUAUGUUGUCACCAGGGGGGAAGCAGCUGAAUACGAGAGGGGAGUGGAGGCAGCUCGCCAACACGCUACUGCUCAGGAGGCGGUUGCCGCUGCAUCUCAGUACAACCCCAGUUUCACUUAUGGAUAUCAGCCAGGCGGUCCUUGGUAUUAG